UACAGAGGGUGCAAGCGUUAUCCGGAUUCACUGGGUUUAAAGGGAGCGUAGGUGGCUUUGUAAGUCAGUGGUGAAAUAUUGCGGCUCAACCGCAAAACUGCCAUUGAUACUGCUUAGCUUGAAUCACGUCGAGGUGGAUGGAAUAAUACAUGUAGCGGUGAAAUGCUUAGAUAUGUAUUAGAACACCGAUUGCGAAGGCAGUUCACUAGGCGUGUAUUGACACUGAGGCUCGAAAGCGUGGGGAUCAAACAGG
This 253-nucleotide ribosomal RNA is filed under the name uncultured bacterium. RNAcentral describes it as "partial 16S ribosomal RNA". It matches the Rfam family "Bacterial small subunit ribosomal RNA", at positions 524 to 776 of the family's 1533-position model. The record is from RNAcentral.